GUUUUUUAUAGUAAGAUAAGAUUAAAAUAGUUUAAGGUAAUGUAAUGACAGAAUUUUAUGAAAUAUGGAAAGGAUUUGCUGCAACAAUUAACAACUAGGAUACAAAAAAAGGGAGGAGGAGGAGGUCAAAGAAAGAAGGUAAUGACAGUUGAGGAUUUGAGAAUAAUGGAUUUGUUUUUAAAAGUUUGUGGUGUAUUUUUGUUUUUUUUUUGAAUUUGUAUUGUUGGAUGUGGUUUGUGUUUUUCUUUGUUCUUUCCUUUUCUUUGUUCUUUCUUUGUUUUUUUUCUACUUUGUUUUCUUUUGUAACUCUAAAUUCCCCCCCCCAAUAAAUAUCAUUUUUUUAAAAAAAAAGUCAGAGCCCAGCUGUACAGGGCUACCAGGGCAGCAUGUGUGCGCCCUUGAAGCAAUGCACUUGCCCCAGGCAACAGUACCAUAUGCUCUACCACUGUCUAGUUCUUUAAGAAUGCACUGGAUGAUAUUCCAAGUCACCAACCCUUAAGAGAGCUGGAACACACACACACACACACACACACACACACACACACACACACACACACACCAUUUAUAGUCUCUGCAGGCUUUAGUCUUUUCUGAAAUCUUGAAAGUUUCAGAGCUGAUUUUCAGAAGGGUGAAUUUAGUGGAUGAAGUCAGUCCCAGCAAUAAUCACUGCAGGUUCUGGGGAGCAUGAAAGCAAAAGUAUAUACAACCCACCCGCACCCGACUUACCAGGCAAAGGACAAGAAUAAUUGGUAUGUAACCUACAGCUGCAUAUCACUUAAACAAGGAUAUGUGGGAAAUCCAGCCUCAUAUAAACAGCAUGCGUAGCAUGAAGGAGUUAAAACCAUAGAGUAAGCUAUUUUUGCUAGACUUGACUGGGUCAUACCCCCUCACCUUGGGAUGAAGGAGGUGAAGUUUCUUUGUUCGCUCCUCUUCCAUUAUGUGAAUCUGGCCAGGGAGGACACCUGGGCUUGUCACUCCAAGCCCACACCACGUGUUUAGAAACCAUGCUAUCAGAUUUUUCAACUAAGUUUUUCUGCCUGUGUUUUUCUUUCUAGUUUUCUAUGGAAAACUACAUGAAUCUGAUCUUUGGAAACUUUGUAAAUCUUUUUAAACUUACCAAACUGUGUGGCCUUUUCUAUGCUAACAGGAAACAAAGGGAAGCUUUGUAAGUGAGUUAAAGUGGGAUAUUUUAAAGGUCUAACAGUCUACAUUCCCAUGCUUUACUUUGCUGCAUGUUUCAUUAUUUUAAAUCUCUGCUGGGCUUACUGACUGGAGAGGGCUUGCCCAGUGUCUGGCUCUAUGCAUCCAGGAAAUUAUUAUUUUAUAAUAACCAAAUACCAAUAGGUUACACAUGCUCCGAGAGAGAGCUGAAGCAGGGAGUGGGCACCAUUAUGGGAAACUAGGUUAUAUUACCUUAGAAUAGUUAGGAAUGAUGUCUGUUGUGUCCUUUCUGUAGGCCUUGAGUCCUUGGAAACGGUUAAGUUUAAUGUUGCUCAGAUUUAUUUAUUUUUGUCUAAUUAUGGUGUUCUUUUUUUAAGCACCUGCAAUUAUUUUUCUGGCAUCUAUUUGAAGAUCACAGUGAAAGCUGAGAUGGAAGGGCAGACACAGACUGAGGCAGCAAAACCCAGCUUAAGAGAG
This 1638-nucleotide long non-coding RNA is filed under the name Podarcis lilfordi (Lilford's wall lizard). The record is from RNAcentral. Lineage: Eukaryota; Metazoa; Chordata; Lepidosauria; Squamata; Lacertidae.